RNAcentral lists this long non-coding RNA (380 nucleotides) under Helianthus annuus (common sunflower). Its description in RNAcentral is "hypothetical non coding rna". Lineage: Eukaryota; Viridiplantae; Streptophyta; Magnoliopsida; Asterales; Asteraceae. The record is from RNAcentral.
AUGCUUUACAUCAUGUUUUGUUGCUAUUCAAGAUCAUGGGAGAUGUCUUUGUAUUUGAUUCCAAAAGCCAUGCCAUUUUUGAAGGUCGCAAAUUGAAAAAAAGAACGAAACGAAACUCUAAUUGACUUUGUUAGGUUGACGGAGGUUGUGUAGGUCAGAAACGAGCCAGAAGAGAGGAAGAAGAAGGGGUCUUGGAGCCUAGAAGAUAUUAUUAGCAGCUCAUUGAUGGCCUAGGGUAUUGCCAUGGUAGAGACUAGGAAAGAGGUAACAACUGUUGAAGAUCCAUUUGAUGCGCCCACUUACAAUAUACGAGAUAAGCUAAUGACAUUUAUAGAAUGAGCUUCAUAUAGUGUUGUAAUCCUGGCUGGACUAAGAAUUGU